This 424-nucleotide long non-coding RNA is filed under the name Papio anubis (olive baboon). RNAcentral describes it as "lncRNA (ENSPANG00000039160.1)". Lineage: Eukaryota; Metazoa; Chordata; Mammalia; Primates; Cercopithecidae. The record is from RNAcentral.
AUUUGCUUUAUCUGUAUUGCUUCAUUUCAUCUUUAUAGUGUCUUGUGAGAUGGGUGUGUUUAUUCCCAUUUUACAGAGAAUAUCCAUUUAUAUAAUGUCAUGAACGUAUAUCCGAUGACAUCAUUUGCCUGCAAACGUACCCAGUGAGUGGCAGAGUCAUCCUGAAGCCUGCUUUCCGGGCCCUGCCUAUAUUCUGGAAAGCUUCACAUGUGAGAUAAAUGCACUCAAAGAUUCCUCACAAGUAGCUCUUUGGAGCUUCGGAUGUGAAAUGGAUCAUUCCUCAAUCUGUAAUAGACCCUUCUGUGAAGCUCUUCAAUCAAACCAGAGAAUUCAAGAUUUUGGAUUUGAUGACCAGUGUCCUUUGAGUGGAAAUCACUAUGUUAACUCGGACCUGGAAGACAGUGAAUUUAGAAUGCCUUGUUGA